Molecule: ribosomal RNA, 400 nt
Filed under: uncultured Caulobacter sp.
Lineage: Bacteria; Pseudomonadati; Pseudomonadota; Alphaproteobacteria; Caulobacterales; Caulobacteraceae
Description: bacterial SSU rRNA
Rfam family: Bacterial small subunit ribosomal RNA
Source: RNAcentral
GUGGGGAAUCUUGCGCAAUGGGCGAAAGCCUGACGCAGCCAUGCCGCGUGAAUGAUGAAGGUCUUAGGAUUGUAAAAUUCUUUCACCGGGGACGAUAAUGACGGUACCCGGAGAAGAAGCCCCGGCUAACUUCGUGCCAGCAGCCGCGGUAAUACGAAGGGGGCUAGCGUUGCUCGGAAUUACUGGGCGUAAAGGGAGCGUAGGCGGGCUGUUAAGUUAGAGGUGAAAGCCCAGGGCUCAACCUUGGAAUUGCCUUUGAUACUGGCAGUCUUGAGUACGGAAGAGGUAUGUGGAACUCCGAGUGUAGAGGUGAAAUUCGUAGAUAUUCGGAAGAACACCAGUGGCGAAGGCGACAUACUGGUCCGUUACUGACGCUGAGGCUCGAAAGCGUGGGGAGCAA